RNAcentral lists this ribosomal RNA (848 nucleotides) under uncultured bacterium. RNAcentral's name for it is "bacterial SSU rRNA". It matches the Rfam family "Bacterial small subunit ribosomal RNA", at positions 61 to 868 of the family's 1533-position model. The record is from RNAcentral.
GUCGAGCGAGUCUGCCUUGAAGAUCGGAGUGCUUGCACUCUGUGAAACAAGAUACAGGCUAGCGGCGGACGGGUGAGUAACACGUGGGUAACCUGCCCAAGAGAUCGGGAUAACACCUGGAAACAGAUGCUAAUACCGGAUAACAACAGAUGAUGCCUAUCAACUGUUUAAAAGAUGGUUCUGCUAUCACUCUUGGAUGGACCUGCGGUGCAUUAGCUAGUUGGUAGGGUAACGGCCUACCAAGGCGAUGAUGCAUAGCCGAGUUGAGAGACUGAUCGGCCACAUUGGGACUGAGACACGGCCCAAACUCCUACGGGAGGCAGCAGUAGGGAAUCUUCCACAAUGGACGCAAGUCUGAUGGAGCAACGCCGCGUGAGUGAAGAAGGGUUUCGGCUCGUAAAGCUCUGUUGUUGGUGAAGAAGGACAGGGGUAGUAACUGACCUUUGUUUGACGGUAAUCAAUUAGAAAGUCACGGCUAACUACGUGCCAGCAGCCGCGGUAAUACGUAGGUGGCAAGCGUUGUCCGGAUUUAUUGGGCGUAAAGCGAGUGCAGGCGGCUCGAUAAGUCUGAUGUGAAAGCCUUCGGCUCAACCGGAGAAUUGCAUCAGAAACUGUCGAGCUUGAGUACAGAAGAGGAGAGUGGAACUCCAUGUGUAGCGGUGAAAUGCGUAGAUAUAUGGAAGAACACCGGUGGCGAAGGCGGCUCUCUGGUCUGUUACUGACGCUGAGGCUCGAAAGCAUGGGUAGCGAACAGGAUUAGAUACCCUGGUAGUCCAUGCCGUAAACGAUGAGUGCUAAGUGUUGGGAGGUUUCCGCCUCUCAGUGCUGCAGCUAACGCAUUAAGCACU